GAUGAACGCUGGCGGCGUGCCUAAUACAUGCAAGUCGAGCGAACGGACGAGAAGCUUGCUUCUCUGAUGUUAGCGGCGGACGGGUGAGUAACACGUGGAUAACCUACCUAUAAGACUGGGAUAAAUUCGGGAAACCGGAGCUAAUACCGGAUAAUAUUUUGAACCGCAUGGUUCAAAAGUGAUAGACGGUCUUGCUGUCACUUAUAGAUGGAUCCGCGCUUCGUUAGCUAGUUGGUAAGGUAACGGCUUACCAAGGCAACGAGGCAUAGCCGAGCUGAGAGGGGUAGCGGGCACGCGGGAAAAGGAAGGCGGAAGAGACGCGUGAGAGAGGCAGCAGUGGGGAGAGUUGCGGAAGGGGAGAAAGACGGACGGUGGAAGGCAGCGUGAGUGAGGAAGGUCUUCGGAUCGAAAAACUCUGUAAUUAUGAAAGAAGAUAUGGGUAAAUAACGAUGCUUAUGUGAAGGGUACGUAAUCAGAAAGCCCCGGCAACCUACUG
Molecule: ribosomal RNA, 496 nt
Filed under: uncultured bacterium
Lineage: Bacteria
Description: partial 16S ribosomal RNA
Rfam family: Bacterial small subunit ribosomal RNA
Source: RNAcentral